Molecule: ribosomal RNA, 489 nt
Filed under: uncultured bacterium
Lineage: Bacteria
Description: partial 16S ribosomal RNA
Rfam family: Bacterial small subunit ribosomal RNA
Source: RNAcentral
AGUGAACGCUGGCGGUAGGCCUAACACAUGCAAGUCGAACGGCAGCACAGUAAGAGCUUGCUCUUACGGGUGGCGAGUGGCGGACGGGUGAGGAAUACAUCGGAAUCUACUUUUUCGUGGGGGAUAACGUAGGGAAACUUACGCUAAUACCGCAUACGACCUACGGGUGAAAGCAGGGGAUCUUCGGACCUUGCGCGAUUGAAUGAGCCGAUGUCGGAUUAGCUAGUUGGCGGGGUAAAGGCCCACCAAGGCGACGAUCCGUAGCUGGUCUGAGAGGAUGAUCAGCCACACUGGAACUGAGACACGGUCCAGACUCCUACGGGAGGCAGCAGUGGGGAAUAUUGGACAAUGGGCGCAAGCCUGAUCCAGCCAUACCGCGUGGGUGAAGAAGGCCUUCGGGUUGUAAAGCCCUUUUGUUGGGAAAGAAAAGCAGCAGGUUAAUACCCCGCCGUUCUGACGGUACCCAAAGAAUAAGCACCGGCUAACUUC